Molecule: ribosomal RNA, 422 nt
Filed under: uncultured bacterium
Lineage: Bacteria
Description: bacterial SSU rRNA
Rfam family: Bacterial small subunit ribosomal RNA
Source: RNAcentral
UAAGGAAUAUUGGACAAUGGAGGCAACUCUGAUCCAGCCAUGCCGCGUGAAGGAAUAAGGCCCUAUGGGUUGUAAACUUCUUUUAGACGGGACAAAACCCCUUUACGUGUAAAGGGUUGAUGGUACUGUCAGAAUAAGCAUCGGCUAACUUCGUGCCAGCAACCGCGGUAAUACGAAGGAUGCAAGCGUUAUCCGGAAUUAUUGGGUUUAAAGGGUGCGUAGGCGGACUAAUAAGUCAGUGGUGAAAGCCUGCAGCUUAACUGCAGAAUUGCCAUUGAUACUGUUAGUCUUGAGUACAGUUGAGGUAGGCGGAAUGUGUCAUGUAGCGGUGAAAUGCUUAGAUAUGACACAGAACACCGAUUGCGAAGUCAGCUUGCUAAGCUGUAACUGACGCUGAGGCACGAAAGCGUGGGGAGCAAACA